GGGGAAUCUUCCGCAAUGGGCGAAAGCCUGACGGAGCAAGACCGCGUGGGGGAAGAAGGCUCUUGGGUUGUAAACUCCUUUUCUCUGGGAAGAACAAAAUGACGGUACCAGAGGAAUCAGCAUCGGCUAACUCCGUGCCAGCAGCCGCGGUAAGACGGAGGAUGCAAGCGUUAUCCGGAAUGAUUGGGCGUAAAGCGUCCGCAGGUGGCAGUUCAAGUCUGCUGUCAAAGACCGGGGCUCAACCUCGGAAAGGCAGUGGAAACUGAACAGCUAGAGUAUGGUAGGGGCAAAGGGAAUUCCUGGUGUAGCGGUGAAAUGCGUAGAGAUCAGGAAGAACAUCGGUGGCGAAGGCGCUUUGCUGGACCAUAACUGACACUCAGGGACGAAAGCUAGGGGAGCGAAUGGGAUUAGAUACCCCAGUAGUC
Molecule: ribosomal RNA, 425 nt
Filed under: uncultured Antarctic cyanobacterium
Lineage: Bacteria; Bacillati; Cyanobacteriota
Description: bacterial SSU rRNA
Rfam family: Bacterial small subunit ribosomal RNA
Source: RNAcentral